Molecule: long non-coding RNA, 267 nt
Filed under: Carica papaya (papaya)
Lineage: Eukaryota; Viridiplantae; Streptophyta; Magnoliopsida; Brassicales; Caricaceae
Description: long non-coding RNA (CPAP_LNC016470)
Source: RNAcentral
AAUAGUUUAUGAUUCUUUACUUGAGUUCAAUGAUUUCAUAAGUUAUAGUAUAAAAUAAGACUUACUGUAAUAUCUAUCCUGUAAAAAAAAUUGUAAAAUUCUACUCUAAAGAAUUUGAGAGAGUGCAGAAGUGAAAACAGAGUAUGAAUUAGGAGGAAGGGAGUGACUGGCUGUGCGGGUGCAGAGGUGUUCAGACCUUUCCUUCUAAGAGGUAAGAAAUUUUUGGUCAUUGUUCUAAUGAUGUUUUCCUCUUAAGCUGUUCACUUC